This 253-nucleotide ribosomal RNA is filed under the name uncultured bacterium. RNAcentral's name for it is "partial 16S ribosomal RNA". It matches the Rfam family "Bacterial small subunit ribosomal RNA", at positions 524 to 776 of the family's 1533-position model. The record is from RNAcentral.
UACGUAGGGUGCAAGCGUUAUCCGGAAUUAUUGGGCGUAAAGAGCUCGUAGGCGGUUUGUCGCGUCUGCUGUGAAAACUGGAGGCUCAACCUCCAGCCUGCAGUGGGUACGGGCAGACUAGAGUGCGGUAGGGGAGAUUGGAAUUCCUGGUGUAGCGGUGGAAUGCGCAGAUAUCAGGAGGAACACCGAUAGCGAAGGCAGCUUACUAGGCUGUAACUGACGCUGAGGCACGAAAGUGUGGGGAUCAAACAGG